CACGGGGGGAGCAAGCGUUGUUCGGAUUCAUUGGGCGUAAAGAGCUCGUAGGCGGCUCUGUAAGUCGGGGGUGAAAGACCACGGCUCAACCGUGGGAACGCCUUCGAUACUGUGGAGCUUGAGGCCGGGAGAGGAAAAUGGAAUUCCUGGUGUAGCGGUGAAAUGCGUAGAUAUCAGGAGGAACACCAGUGGCGAAGGCGAUUUUCUGGACCGGUUCUGACGCUGAGGAGCGAAAGCCAGGGGAGCAAACAGG
This 253-nucleotide ribosomal RNA is filed under the name uncultured bacterium. RNAcentral describes it as "partial 16S ribosomal RNA". It matches the Rfam family "Bacterial small subunit ribosomal RNA", at positions 524 to 776 of the family's 1533-position model. The record is from RNAcentral.